This 1385-nucleotide long non-coding RNA is filed under the name Lupinus angustifolius (narrow-leaved blue lupine). RNAcentral describes it as "long non-coding RNA (LANG_LNC002664)". The record is from RNAcentral. Lineage: Eukaryota; Viridiplantae; Streptophyta; Magnoliopsida; Fabales; Fabaceae.
UUCAUCACACCUUCUAUUUCUUAAUAUAAUAUAUCCUAUUUAUAAAGAUGAACCCAUUUUGUAACCAACCAUCACAACUCAUCCGUAACCUCCUCCUCUUUCUACCUCAUACACAUAUUUUUCUUUUCAUACACAUACAAACAUGUCACCCACACAUCUUUCAACCAUUCUUUACUUCCUCUUCUUCUACAUACAAAGAAAAACACACCACAGAGAAGAGAAAACUGUUCUUUCCAAUAUGAUUAUAAAGUUAGUAUUUGCUUUCUUUGAAUUUGAUUAAUGAUUCUGUAAAUUUUUGGGUGCACGUUAGUAAUUAUUUGCUAUGUGUUAGGAUACAAAGUGACAAUUUUAUAGAUUGUGAGGUCCAUGUUUAUAUAAAUCAUUUAUAUGUGUAGGAUAUAUGUUUUGUUCAAAAUUAUUAUUUUUUUCUCCUCUUACAUAGUCAAUGGACUUCUGAAUCAUGCCUAAGCAUAUUUAGAUAUUGGUUGAAAACAUGACUAUCAUAAGUGCUCAAUUCUUUUAAAAUAAAGUUAUAUGUAUUCACAGUGAUGUACGUGCCUAAUGCAUGUACUCUAAAUCACUGCUACAAAAAAAAAAGUCAUUUCCUUUUUACUGUUAUUAUAAUAGUAUGGUUCCACAUGUGGCUUAUAAUAAAGACUAGUCAUUUCAUCUCUGUAAGUUGUAUCCUUGGUAUUAUUUACUAUUUUCUUCAACUGAAUAUUAAAAUUGUGCAAUAUAACUUUAGAGUGCAGUAACAGAUUCAUGCGUGCUCCAACUUCUGUUUUUCUUUUACUUCGUGAACAUUAUAAUAAUAUGCUAUACAGAUUUAUGUAAUUAAUGUAUUUUAUACAUAUAUCUCUAUAUAUAAACACUAGGCAUAAUCCUACAUUUAUAGUUAACUAUACAAUGUGGCAACUAUCAUUAUACUCAAUCUUUUACUAUUUGUUAUCCAUUCUUUAAAAAAAAGGAGUAGGCCAAUGUCUAUGAAGUUGUCUAUUAAUUACUAUGUAAGUAUAUUUUUUUAAAGAGACAAGUGUGAUUGUUUGAGUUAUUGAUUAGUGUUAGACUAUUUGUGAGAUUGAAAGAGAUUAGAAUUUAAUUUGUUGUCUCAUUUGUUGUGGGUAUGUGUAUGAGAAAAGAUACUGGAUUUGAAGGAGAUGAUGGAAGAACAUGUUUAUUUGCCGGACAAAGAGUUUACAUAAACCCUGUUGAGGGAGAAGAAUAUUGUGGUCUUAGAGUUUUUCGUUGAAGUUCUUCUCUCCGAUUCCCUUAAAAGUCGGAGAGCUUUGUAGAUUAGGAACUCCCAUGGAAACUUGUUUUCCAUGUAAGAGUUCAUAAUCUUUUUCAUGACGAUGUACAGAGUCUUAGAUAUUUGAUUGUGCUGG